Molecule: ribosomal RNA, 468 nt
Filed under: uncultured bacterium
Lineage: Bacteria
Description: partial 16S ribosomal RNA
Rfam family: Bacterial small subunit ribosomal RNA
Source: RNAcentral
GACGAACGCUGGCGGCGUGCUUAACACAUGCAAGUCGAACGGAAAGGCCCUGCUUUUGUGGGGUGCUCGAGUGGCGAACGGGUGAGUAACACGUGAGUAACCUGUCCUUGACUUUGGGAUAACCUCAGGAAACUGGGGCUAAUACCGGAUAGGAGCUCCUGCUGCAUGGUGGGGGUUGGAAAGUUUCGGCGGUUGGGGAUGGACUCGCGGCUUAUCAGCUUGUUGGUGGGGUAGUGGCUUACCAAGGCUUUGACGGGUAGCCGGCCUGAGAGGGUGACCGGCCACAUUGGGACUGAGAUACGGCCCAGACUCCUACGGGAGGCAGCAGUGGGGAAUAUUGCACAAUGGGCGGAAGCCUGAUGCAGCAACGCCGCGUGCGGGAUGGCGGCCUUCGGGUUGUAAACCGCUUUCGCCUGUGACGAAGCGUGAGUGACGGUAAUGGGUAAAGAAGCACCGGCUAACUACGUG